RNAcentral lists this ribosomal RNA (449 nucleotides) under uncultured bacterium. RNAcentral's name for it is "partial 16S ribosomal RNA". It matches the Rfam family "Bacterial small subunit ribosomal RNA", at positions 29 to 523 of the family's 1533-position model. The record is from RNAcentral.
AACGAACGCUGGCGGCAUGCCUAACACAUGCAAGUCGAACGAGAUCUUCGGGUCUAGUGGCGCACGGGUGCGUAACGCGUGGGAAUCUGCCCUUUGGUUCGGAAUAACAGUUGGAAACGACUGCUAAUACCGGAUGAUGACGAAAGUCCAAAGAUUUAUCGCCAGAGGAUGAGCCCGCGUAGGAUUAGCUAGUUGGUGUGGUAAAGGCGCACCAAGGCGACGAUCCUUACCUGGUCUGAGAGGAUGAUCAGCCACACUGGGACUGAGACACGGCCCAGACUCCUACGGGAGGCAGCAGUGGGGAGUAUUGGACAAUGGGCGAAAGCCUGAUCCAGCAAUGCCGCGUGAGUGAUGAAGGCCUUAGGGUUGUAAAGCUCUUUUACCCGGGAUGAUAAUGACAGUACCGGGAGAAUAAGCUCCGGCUAACUCCGUGCCAGCCGCCGCGGUAA